This 39-nucleotide ribosomal RNA is filed under the name Steinernema abbasi. Its description in RNAcentral is "partial 28S ribosomal RNA". Lineage: Eukaryota; Metazoa; Nematoda; Chromadorea; Rhabditida; Steinernematidae. The record is from RNAcentral.
ACAACUCAAUUAAGUGAGAUACCCUACUUAAGCACUAUA